This 253-nucleotide ribosomal RNA is filed under the name uncultured bacterium. RNAcentral's name for it is "partial 16S ribosomal RNA". It matches the Rfam family "Bacterial small subunit ribosomal RNA", at positions 524 to 776 of the family's 1533-position model. The record is from RNAcentral.
UACAGAGGUCCCGAGCGUUGUUCGGAUUUAUUGGGCGUAAAGGGUGCGUAGGCGGCGCGGAAAGUUGGGUGUGAAAUCCCUCGGCUCAACCGAGGAACUGCGCCCAAAACUACCGUGCUCGAGGGAGAUAGAGGUGAGCGGAACUUAGGGUGGAGCGGUGAAAUGCGUUGAUAUCCUAAGGAACACCGGUGGCGAAAGCGGCUCACUGGAUCUCUUCUGACGCUGAGGCACGAAAGCUAGGGUAGCGAACGGG